ACCUUUCAUUCACCUCAAUAGUACCUGCUGCUAUCUUGAUCCAUCCCAAAGUGUAUGGAUUAGGAUGCUUUUGGUUGGUAAACCCAAACUCUUCACAAGCUCUUUCCCUACAAUGCUUUCACAAUUACCACUACCAAUAAUAACACCAAAUAUUCUAUUAUUAAUAGCGCACCUGGUUCGAAAUAGUUGGUAGCAUUGUGUUUGAUCCUUUUACUUUGGAGCUAGCAUCAUCCUUCUAACCACAUAGUUUUGCCCCUCAUCAAGUUCCUUUUCAUAUUCAUCUUCUUUCCUUUUGGCUUCACAAUAAAUUUCAGCCCCAUCUUCCUCUCCUCUUACAACAACAUUCACUGUCUUCCUCAAAGGGCAAUCACUAGAACAAUGCCCUUGCUGGUUGCACUUAAAACACUUCCCAUGGAUCAGUAUAGCAUGAGGAUUGGUGGCUUUAUGCGUCUCUUUCUCCUUCCCUUCAUUCAUGGGACACUUUCUGGUUGCUUUCUCUUUUUGGGCAAGCUCUUUUUUAAUACGGUUGCUACCAUACUUCUCUUAAGGUCCACCAUAAUUAUUUACUUCAGCUCUAGCACCUGGACUUGUGGUCUUAUAGGAAUUGAAACUCCUCCUUUGCAUCAUAUCCACCUUCAAGGCCAAUUUUUUAGCCUCGAAUGAGGAUCACAAUACUUUAACUCCAAUCUGGUCCUUAAUGGCCAACUUUAAUCCCUCCAAAUACCUUGCAAUCUGCUGGACUUCGGAUUCAUGAAAGUUAUUUGUUUCAACCAACCUCAUGAAUUCAACUGUGUAUUCAGGAGCCGUUUGGCUGUGUAUUCAUGAAACUCCCAUUUAAGUUGAGAAUAUCAACUUUAAGCCAAAAAUCCUUGUUCUCCCUCUCAUCAUAACCACGAUCACCUCCUCUCCUCCCAUAUUUUCCUUGCCAUUGGUGUCUAGGAAAUUCAUGGGUUCAUAUUCAUCCUCCUCUUCAGAGUCCUCAUUGUAGACAAGAUGUCUACGUGCAAGAAUUGGCCGUUCAAUUGGGUCACCAUGGGCUGCAUCAUCCCUUGGCCUUCUAUUGUCCACCCGAUCCCUGUUGCCAUUGAUUUCUAAAGCAUCAAGGCAAUCUGCAAUUUCUUCGAGACAUCUUUCUAUACAUUCGAAUCUGUGGUCCACUUGCUGCUCUUGUAAUUGCUCCAAACAUUGCUCCAAACAUUGCAAUGUGUCGUUCCUUAGUUGAAGGGCUCUAGCUCUCUGAUCACCAUUGCGAGAGCCAUUGUCAUCAUCACUGCCAGUUGCCAUCCUUACUUUGAUACCAUCUGACGCAGGUAGCUAGGUAACAUACUCACACUCACACGUGAGAGAGAGAAAAUUUGAGAGAAAUCUCGGCUGUAAUUUUAUUGAUUAAAAAAAUCUAUUGGAAUAAAUAAAGAAUUGGGGUAUUUAUAGAGUUUUUAAACCCCUAAACAUAAAUAGGAAAGGAACUCGAAAUUAGGAACCUAAUUACAACAGAAAACCUAGGUAAAAAAGGAUUAAACUAGUCCUAAUAAGAAUAGGAAAACAAAUAAACUCUUAAAUAAAGUUGGAAAGGCCCUAAAUUAACUCCUUUUAGUUCUCCUUUGUUGUUUCUCCUACUUUUCCAAAAAUUCUUCACUUAUUUCAUCCACAUCAUUUCAUCAUACCUGCAAACACACACCAUGCAAUAACAUGUGCAUAAGUACACCCUUAUAUAUGGUGGAACAAUGUUUUAAAGGGAAAAAUAACUCUUGUGAAAAUUAUAUUGACUAAAAACUCUCUUUAAUACAUAGAAUUAUGGGGUAUUUAUGGAGUUUAGACUCCUAAACUAACUAGAAAAAUAUAAAUCCUAAGUAGGAAGUUUUCCAAAAUAGGAGUCCUAAUAGAAUGGGAAGAAAUAAUCUAAAUCCUAAU
RNAcentral lists this unclassified non-coding RNA (1911 nucleotides) under Hevea brasiliensis (rubber tree). The record is from RNAcentral. Lineage: Eukaryota; Viridiplantae; Streptophyta; Magnoliopsida; Malpighiales; Euphorbiaceae.